UAUUAGCUCAGUUGGUUAGAGUGCACCCCUGAUAAGGGUGAGGUCCCUGGUUCAAAUCUAG
This 61-nucleotide transfer RNA is filed under the name Ochromonas sp. CCMP1393. It matches the Rfam family "tRNA", at positions 8 to 62 of the family's 71-position model. Rfam says of the family: Transfer RNA (tRNA) molecules are approximately 80 nucleotides in length. Their secondary structure includes four short double-helical elements and three loops (D, anti-codon, and T loops). RNAcentral also lists the same sequence under 1 other name. The record is from RNAcentral. Lineage: Eukaryota; Chrysophyceae; Chromulinales; Chromulinaceae.